This 408-nucleotide ribosomal RNA is filed under the name uncultured bacterium. RNAcentral describes it as "partial 16S ribosomal RNA". It matches the Rfam family "Bacterial small subunit ribosomal RNA", at positions 28 to 526 of the family's 1533-position model. The record is from RNAcentral.
GACGAACGCUGGCGGCGUGCUUAACACAUGCAAGUCGAACGAAGUGGCGAACGGGUGAGUAAAGCGUAAUCAACCUGCCCUUCAGAGGGGGACACCAGUUGGAAACGACUGCUAAUACCGCAUACUGAAGGAGGGGAUUGGGUCGUAGUAGCUGGUUGGGGGGGUAACGGCCCACCAAGGCGAUGAUCAGUAGCCGGUCUGGGAGGAUGAACGGCCAAAUUGGGACUGAGACACGGGCCAAGCCCCUACGGGAGGCAGCAGUUGGGAAACAUCCGCAAUGGACGAAAGUCUUACGGAGCAACGCCGCGUGAGUGAUGACGGCCUUCGGGUUGUAAAGCUCUGUUAAUCGGGACGCGGUACCGGAAGAGAAAGCCACGGCUAACUACGUGCCAGCCGCCGCGGUAAUUC